AAAGAAGCUGCAGCACAGAGUGGCAAGGCUUCCCCAGAAGUUUGGAAGUUAACCUCUGGGGACACCCUCGUGCAGAGGUGGCAGCAGAAGGAGACAGAGCAGUGUGGCUGGGAAGCACUGAGAGAAGCUGAAAUUUCCUCUUCCCUCAUGUCUGUGGGAUUUCCAGCACAUCUGCAUUGCUGGGAGGCUGUGUGCCAUCUACAUUACCCCCUGUUAUGAAGAGGAAAGAAGUUUUAUGAUGGCAAAUGUGAGACCUGAG
Melospiza melodia melodia is the source of this 259-nucleotide long non-coding RNA. RefSeq lists it as uncharacterized. The transcript is spliced from 3 exons. The record is from RefSeq and is a predicted model, not a curated record. Lineage: Eukaryota; Metazoa; Chordata; Aves; Passeriformes; Passerellidae.